Molecule: non-coding RNA, 178 nt
Organism: Caenorhabditis elegans
Lineage: Eukaryota; Metazoa; Nematoda; Chromadorea; Rhabditida; Rhabditidae
Source: Ensembl
GGAAUUCGAUAGUAUUCCACAAAAUAAAGAAUUGGCAAUGGAUCGACAGCUGGGUAAAUUGCAAAUAUCAAAGUUAUAAUAGUUGCAAGAAACUGACAGUUAAUCUCGAAAAUUGGAAGAGUGAAUAGGAGUCCAAAUGGAAUAAAGAGCAAUACAACAGGGAUGACUGUCUGGAAAU